Molecule: ribosomal RNA, 795 nt
Filed under: uncultured marine bacterium
Lineage: Bacteria
Description: bacterial SSU rRNA
Rfam family: Bacterial small subunit ribosomal RNA
Source: RNAcentral
UUUGUGCUUGCACAAAACGGGAACCGGCGAACGGGUGCGUAACACGUAUGCAACCUACCUAUAACUGGGGGAUAGCCCGAAGAAAUUCGGAUUAAUACCCUGUAAUAUUUACACACCGCAUGGUGAGUAUCUUAAAACUCCGGUGGUUAUAGAUGGGCAUGCGGCUUAUUAGUUUGUUGGUGAGGUAACGGCUCACCAAGACUACGAUAAGUAGGGGGUCUGAGAGGAUGAUCCCCCACACUGGUACUGAGACACGGACCAGACUCCUACGGGAGGCAGCAGUAGGGAAUAUUGGACAAUGGACGAAAGUCUGAUCCAGCCAUGCCGCGUGCAGGAUGACGGCCCUAUGGGUUGUAAACUGCUUUUAUAUAGGAAGAAACCCUCGCUCGUGAGCGAGGCUGACGGUACUAUACGAAUAAGGACCGGCUAACUCCGUGCCAGCAGCCGCGGUAAUACGGAGGGUCCAAGCGUUGUCCGGAUUUAUUGGGUUUAAAGGGUACGUAGGCGGGACUUUAAGUCAGUGGUGAAAGCCUCCAGCUUAACUGGAGAAUUGCCAUUGAAACUGAAGUUCUUGAGUAUGGAUGAGGUGGUUGGAAUACAAACAUGUAGCGGUGAAAUGCAUAGAUAUGUUAUAGAACACCAAUUGCGAAGGCAGAUCACUAAACCAUUACUGACGCUGAGGUACGAAAGCGUGGGGAGCGAACAGGAUUAGAUACCCUGGUAGUCCACGCCGUAAACGAUGUUCACUCGCUGUUGGCGAUAUACUGUCAGCGGCCAAGCGAAAGCAUUAAGUGA